AUACAGAGGGUGCAAGCGUUAAUCGGAAUUACUGGGCGUAAAGCGCGCGUAGGCGGUUUGAUAAGUCGGAUGUGAAAUCCCUGGGCUCAACCUGGGAACUGCAUUCGAAACUGUCUGACUAGAGUAUGGUAGAGGGUGGUGGAAUUCCUAGUGUAGCGGUGAAAUGCGUAGAUAUUAGGAGGAACAUCAGUGGCGAAGGCGACCACCUGGACCAAUACUGACGCUGAGGUGCGAAAGCGUGGGGAGCAAACAGGAUUAGAAACCCCAGUGUCC
RNAcentral lists this ribosomal RNA (273 nucleotides) under uncultured bacterium. Its description in RNAcentral is "partial 16S ribosomal RNA". It matches the Rfam family "Bacterial small subunit ribosomal RNA", at positions 523 to 796 of the family's 1533-position model. The record is from RNAcentral.